UUAAGCGACUAAGCGUACACGGUGGAUGCCUAGGCAGUCAGAGGCGAUGAAGGGCGUGCUAAUCUGCGAUAAGCGCCGGUAAGGUGAUAUGAACCGCAAUAACCGGCGAUACCCGAAUGGGGAAACCCAGUGCAAUCCGUUGCACUAUCCUGGCCUGAAUUCAUAGGGUCCGGAGGCGAACCGGGGGAACUGAAACAUCUCAGUACCCCGAGGAAAAGAAAUCAACCGAGAUUCCCCCAGUAGCGGCGAGCGAACGGGGAACAGCCCAGAACCAACAUCAGCAUCAGCGUCAGGAGAACGGUCUGGAAAGGCCGGCAGUAAAGGGUGAUAGCCCCGUAUCUGAAGACACUGGUGGUGUGAGUUCGACGAGUAGGGCGGGACACGUGGUAUCCUGUCUGAACAUGGGGGGACCAUCCUCCAAGGCUAAAUACUCCUGACUGACCGAUAGUGAACCAGUACCGUGAGGGAAAGGCGAAAAGAACCCCGGCGAGGGGAGUGAAAUAGAACCUGAAACCGUGUACGUACAAGCAGUGGGAGCCUUGAUUUAUCAGGGUGACUGCGUACCUUUUGUAUAAUGGGUCAGCGACUUAUAUUCUGUAGCAAGGUUAACCGUUUAGGGGAGCCGCAGGGAAACCGAGUCUUAACUGGGCGUUAAGUUGCAGGGUAUAGACCCGAAACCCGGUGAUCUAGCCAUGGGCAGGUUGAAGGUUGGGUAACACUAACUGGAGGACCGAACCGACUAAUGUUGAAAAAUUAGCGGAUGACUUGUGGCUGGGGGUGAAAGGCCAAUCAAACCGGGAGAUAGCUGGUUCUCCCCGAAAGCUAUUUAGGUAGCGCCUCGUGAAUUCAUCUUCGGGGGUAGAGCACUGUUUCGGCUAGGGGGUCAUCCCGACUUACCAACCCGAUGCAAACUGCGAAUACCGAAGAAUGUUAUCACGGGAGACACACGGCGGGUGCUAACGUCCGUCGUGAAGAGGGAAACAACCCAGACCGCCAGCUAAGGUCCCCAAGUCAUGGUUAAGUGGGAAACGAAGUGGGAAGGCUCAGACAGCCAGGAUGUUGGCUUAGAAGCAGCCAUCAUUUAAAGAAAGCGUAAUAGCUCACUGGUCGAGUCGGCCUGCGCGGAAGAUGUAACGGGGCUAAACCAUGCACCGAAGCUGCGGCAGCAACACUUAGGUGUUGUUGGGUAGGGGAGCGUUCUGUAAGCCUGCGAAGGUGUGCUGUGAGGCAUGCUGGAGGUAUCAGAAGUGCGAAUGCUGACAUAAGUAACGAUAAAGCGGGUGAAAAACCCGCUCGCCGGAAGACCAAGGGUUCCUGUCCAACGUUAAUCGGGGCAGGGUGAGUCGACCCCUAAGGCGAGGCCGAAAGGCGUAGUCGAUGGGAAACGGGUUAAUAUUCCCGUACUCGGUGUUACUGCGAAGGGGGGACGGAGAAGGCUAGACCAGCCGGGCGACGGUUGUCCCGGUUCAAGCGUGUAGGUGGGAAGAAUUGGUAAAUCCGUUCUUCCGUGAACACUGAGGCGUGAUAACGAGGCACUACGGUGCUGAAGUGGUUGAUGCCCUGCUUCCAGGAAAAGCCUCUAAGCAUCAGGUAACAGUGAAUCGUACCCCAAACCGACACAGGUGGUCAGGUAGAGAAUACUCAGGCGCUUGAGAGAACUCGGGUGAAGGAACUAGGCAAAAUGGUGCCGUAACUUCGGGAGAAGGCACGCUGGCGCCAGGUGACGGGACUUGCUCCCCGAGCCGAGGCCAGUCGCAGAUACCAGCUGGCUGCAACUGUUUAAUAAAAACACAGCACUGUGCAAACACGAAAGUGGACGUAUACGGUGUGACGCCUGCCCGGUGCUGGAAGGUUAAUUGAUGGGGUUAGCGGCAACGCGAAGCUCUUGAUCGAAGCCCCAGUAAACGGCGGCCGUAACUAUAACGGUCCUAAGGUAGCGAAAUUCCUUGUCGGGUAAGUUCCGACCUGCACGAAUGGCGUAAUGAUGGCCAGGCUGUCUCCACCCGAGACUCAGUGAAAUUGAACUCGCUGUGAAGAUGCAGUGUACCCGCGGCAAGACGGAAAGACCCCGUGAACCUUUACUAUAGCUUGACACUGAACCUUGAACCUUGAUGUGUAGGAUAGGUGGGAGGCUGUGAAGUGCGGACGCCAGUCUGCACGGAGCCAUCCUUGAAAUACCACCCUUGAAUGUUUGAUGUUCUAACGCAGGCCCGUUAUCCGGGUCGCGGACAGUGUCUGGUGGGUAGUUUGACUGGGGCGGUCUCCUCCCAAAGCGUAACGGAGGAGCACGAAGGUUAGCUAAUCACGGUCGGACAUCGUGAGGUUAGUGCAAUGGCAUAAGCUAGCUUGACUGCGAGAGUGACAGCUCGAGCAGGUACGAAAGUAGGUCAUAGUGAUCCGGUGGUUCUGAAUGGAAGGGCCAUCGCUCAACGGAUAAAAGGUACUCCGGGGAUAACAGGCUGAUACCGCCCAAGAGUUCAUAUCGACGGCGGUGUUUGGCACCUCGAUGUCGGCUCAUCACAUCCUGGGGCUGAAGUAGGUCCCAAGGGUACCGGCUGUUCGCCGUUUAAAGUGGUACGCGAGCUGGGUUUAGAACGUCGUGAGACAGUUCGGUCCCUAUCUGCCGUGGGCGUUGGAAGAUUGAAAGGGGCUGCUCCUAGUACGAGAGGACCGGAGUGGACGCACCACUGGUGUUCGGGUUGUCAUGCCAAUGGCACUGCCCGGUAGCUAAGUGCGGAAGAGAUAACCGCUGAAAGCAUCUAAGCGGGAAACUUGCCUUGAGAUGAGUCUUCCCUUGUCCCUUGAGGAUACUGAAGGAACGUUCAAGACGAGGACGUGGAUAGGCUGGGUGUGUAAGCGUAGCGAUACGUUGAGCUAACCAGUACUAAUGAACCGUGAGGCUUAACCU
This 2908-nucleotide ribosomal RNA is filed under the name unidentified. RNAcentral describes it as "bacterial LSU rRNA". It matches the Rfam family "Bacterial large subunit ribosomal RNA". The record is from RNAcentral.